This 505-nucleotide ribosomal RNA is filed under the name uncultured bacterium. RNAcentral describes it as "partial 16S ribosomal RNA". It matches the Rfam family "Bacterial small subunit ribosomal RNA", at positions 36 to 507 of the family's 1533-position model. The record is from RNAcentral.
UCCUCCCUCUGGCGGCGUGCCUAAUACAUGCAAGUCGAACGCACAGUUUAUACCGUAGCUUGCUACACCAUAAACUGUGAGUUGCGAACGGGUGAGUCACGCGUAGGUAACCUGCCUGGUAGCGGGGGGUAACUAUUGGAAACGCUAGCUAAUACCGCAUCAUAUUGAUUAUUGCAUGAUAAUUGAUUGAAAGAUGCUAUUGCAUCACUACCAGAUGGCCCUGCGUUGUAUUAGCUAGUAGGGGAGGUAACGGCUCACCUAGGCGACGAUACAUAGCCGACCGGCGAGGGUGAUCGGCCACACUGGGACUGAGACACGGCCCAGACUCCUACGGGAGGCAGCAGUAGGGAAUCUUCGGCAAUGGACGGAAGUCUGACCGAGCAACGCCGCGUGAGUGAAGAAGGGUUUCGGAUCGUAAAGCUCGGUUGUAAGAGAAGAACGGGUGUGAGAGUGGAAAGUUCACACUGUGACGGUAUCUUACCAGAAAGGAACGGCUAACUACGUG